Molecule: ribosomal RNA, 497 nt
Filed under: uncultured bacterium
Lineage: Bacteria
Description: partial 16S ribosomal RNA
Rfam family: Bacterial small subunit ribosomal RNA
Source: RNAcentral
GAUGAACGCUGGCGGCGUGCCUAAUACAUGCAAGUCGAGCGAACGGACGAGAAGCUUUCUUCUCUGAUGUUAGCGGCGGACGGGUGAGUAACACGUGGAUAACCUACCUAUAAGACUGGGAUAACUUCGGGAAACCGGAGCUAAUACCGGAUAAAAUUUUGAACCGCAUGGUUCAAAAGAGAAAGAAGGUCUUGCUGUCACUUAUAGAUGAAUCCGCGCUGCAUUAGCUAGUUGGUAAGGUAACGGCUUACCAAGGCAACGAUGCAUAGCCGACCUGAGAGGGUGAUCGGCCACACUGGAACUGAGACACGGUCCAGACUCCUACGGGAGGCAGCAGUAGGGAAUCGUCCGCAAUGGGCUGAAGCCUGACGGAGCAACGCCGCGUGAGUGAUGAAGGUCUUCGGAUCGUAAAACUCUGUUAUUAGGGAAGAACAUAUGUGUAAGUAACUGUGCUCAUCUUGACGGUACUUAAUCAGAAAGCCACGGCUAACUACGUG